AUUUCUUCUCGGCCUUUUGGCUAAGAUCAACUGUAGUGUCUGUUCUUAUCAGUUUAAAGACUAUGGAUAGAGCAACAAGAAUCUAGGAGAAACCCAAA
Molecule: small nuclear RNA, 98 nt
Organism: Heterocephalus glaber (naked mole-rat)
Lineage: Eukaryota; Metazoa; Chordata; Mammalia; Rodentia; Bathyergidae
Gene: U2
Rfam family: U2 spliceosomal RNA
About the family: U2 is a small nuclear RNA (snRNA) component of the spliceosome (involved in pre-mRNA splicing). Complementary binding between U2 snRNA (in an area lying towards the 5' end but 3' to hairpin I) and the branchpoint sequence (BPS) of the intron results the bulging out of an unpaired adenosine, on the BPS, which initiates a nucleophilic attack at the intronic 5' splice site, thus starting the first of two transesterification reactions that mediate splicing.
Source: Ensembl